GGGCCCGCACAAGCGGUGGAUUAUGUGGUUUAAUUCGAAGCAACGCGCAGAACCUUACCUAGGCUUGAAAUCCUUCGAAUCCCGAGUAAUGUUGGGAGUGCCCGCAAGGGAAUGAAGUGACAGGUGCUGCAUGGCUGUCGUCAGCUCGUGUUGUGAAAUGUUGGGUUAAGUCUCGCAACGAGCGCAACCCCUAUCUUUAGUUGCCAGCAUUAAGUUGGGCACUCUAGAGAGACUGCCCGGGUUAACCGGGAGGAAGGUGGGGAUGACGUCAAGUCCUCAUGGCCCUUAUGCCUAGGGCUACACACGUAAUACAAUGGUGCAAACAAAGGGAAGCGAGCAUGCGAGUGUUAGCAAAUCUCAAAAAUUGCAUCUCAGUCCGGAUUGGAGUCUGCAACUCGACUCCAUGAAGUUGGAAUCGCUAGUAAUCG
This 428-nucleotide ribosomal RNA is filed under the name uncultured bacterium. RNAcentral describes it as "bacterial SSU rRNA". It matches the Rfam family "Bacterial small subunit ribosomal RNA", at positions 917 to 1344 of the family's 1533-position model. The record is from RNAcentral.